Molecule: long non-coding RNA, 346 nt
Filed under: Mytilus galloprovincialis (Mediterranean mussel)
Lineage: Eukaryota; Metazoa; Mollusca; Bivalvia; Mytilida; Mytilidae
Source: RNAcentral
GUUUUUGUUUUUUAUUCAUUUCGGUAUUCUUUAAUUUUCGAGUUAAUUUUUCUCUAUUCUAUAUAUUUUUGCCCAUUCUUCUCAUUUUUCUUUCUUUUAACACCCUGUAUUUACUAUUCUUUACUGUUUUGGCAUUUUUUCUCCAUUACCGAUUUUUUUUGGAUUUAUUUUGUUGAAGUAUAGGCCCACUUAAUAAUGACUAUUCUGUUUACCCUAAGACCCUCAUAUAUGAUAUGAUACGAUAUAUUUUAAAUUCAAAGUGCAUCCUGAUAUAAUAUAUACAAAAUUUAGCACCAAAAUUACAAUUCAGUACAUCUGCAAUUGUAUAUUAUAUCAGCCAGUCUUU